This 200-nucleotide unclassified non-coding RNA is filed under the name Melanogaster sp. (in: basidiomycete fungi). Its description in RNAcentral is "Melanogaster sp. partial internal transcribed spacer 2". Lineage: Eukaryota; Fungi; Basidiomycota; Agaricomycetes; Boletales; Melanogastraceae. The record is from RNAcentral.
UUAAGUUCAGCGGGUAGUCCUACCUGAUUUGAGGUCAAGCGUCAGAAAAGUAAAAGGGUCGUCCGCCCGAAAGCAAAGUCCCCAAGUACGAUAUAUGUUUAGAAGCAAAGGUCGAUCUACGCCUCACACUCCAGCCACGACGAUCAUUAUCACGUCGAAGGCCGUGCAUGCAAGACUUGCCGCCUUUCGCUAAUGCUUUU